GAGAGAGAGAGAGAGUACAGAGCAGUUACGUGGAUCAGAGGAAGGAGCUGAAUGGUACAUUGCUGUUGCAGAACAAAAUGCAAAAGCAAAGACAGUAAUAAAUAAAUCAUAGCAAGCCUACCAACUGUGCAACGAAUAAAGAUUAGAAUAUUGCUAUUUCACAUCAAGAUAGAUAUAGCAUGCUUGACCCUGUGUUCUUUCUUUUUAACAUCAUGGUUUGUUAUUCUCUGUUUUUUUAACCUUUAUAUUUUCAUCGUUCCUCAGCUAUCCAGCCUAUUCUAGGUGCAGUUAGGAUGUAGUUGUAUUAGUACGUAGAGUAUUCUAUUCUAUCUUGCUAAUCGACCGCUAUUAGAUAGAUAGAUUCGCCUCGAGGGUUGUGCAAUAAUGCUUGUUCUCUCUUUCCCACUAUGCGCUAACUCGAAAUCUCAUAGAAUAGACAGAUUGAAU
RNAcentral lists this unclassified non-coding RNA (447 nucleotides) under Hevea brasiliensis (rubber tree). Lineage: Eukaryota; Viridiplantae; Streptophyta; Magnoliopsida; Malpighiales; Euphorbiaceae. The record is from RNAcentral.